GCUGUCGUCAGCUCGUGUUGUGAAAUGUUGGGUUAAGUCCCGCAACGAGCGCAACCCUUAUCCUUGUUUGCCAGCACGUAAUGGUGGGAACUCCAGGGAGACUGCCGGUGAUAAACCGGAGGAAGGUGGGGACGACGUCAAGUCAUCAUGGCCCUUACGAGUAGGGCUACACACGUGCUACAAUGGCGCAUACAGAGGGCUGCAAGCUAGCGAUAGUGAGCGAAUCCCAAAAAGUGCGUCGUAGUCCGGAUUGGAGUCUGCAACUCGACUCCAUGAAGUCGGAAUCGCUAGUAAUCGUAGAUCAGAAUGCUACGGUGAAUACGUUCCCGGGCCUUGUACACACCGCCCGUCACACCAUGGGAGUGGGCUGCAAAAGAAGUGGGUAGUUUAACCUUCGGGAGGACGCUCACCACUUUGUGGUUCAUGACUGGGGUGAAGUCGUAACAAGGUAGCCCUAGGGGAACCUGGGGCUGGAU
Molecule: ribosomal RNA, 476 nt
Filed under: Vibrio parahaemolyticus
Lineage: Bacteria; Pseudomonadati; Pseudomonadota; Gammaproteobacteria; Vibrionales; Vibrionaceae
Description: bacterial SSU rRNA
Rfam family: Bacterial small subunit ribosomal RNA
Source: RNAcentral